AUUGAAUUGGGAGCUUGGCCUCUGGUGAACGGUGUUGUCGGUGAACACCGGCUCGUAGUCACAUUGCUUUCUGCUUUUGUUCCAUUGCCCAGUAGUCUCUCCUUUGCACCUCAACCACUCUCUCUGCAAUGCAACACACACUUUUUAUCUCUUUCUAUCUUCUCUUUUUGUAGCAGAGGGUGAUCUCAGCCCAAAUGUUGUAAUGGGGGAUUUUCAUGAACAUUGUUUGCCAUGGAUUCUGGAUUCCAUGAACAAGUCUUUUAGGUCUUUCUUUCUAUUCUAUUAUGUUCUGUUCGUCUUUAAUUUCAUUUUUAUUUUCUUGAAUUCCAUUUUCUUUUUUCCCUUUUUCGAAUGAACUGAUUUUUGAGGAAUGGAUGAAAUGCAAAAGCCCCUCGCCCCUCUCUUUGCCUUUUCCCAAUAACAGUUAAAUUCAACCCAAAGACCAAACCUUCAAAGUCGCUUUAGAACAUAGUUCCUUCGAAACUCAUCCCAGG
This 494-nucleotide long non-coding RNA is filed under the name Vigna radiata. RNAcentral describes it as "long non-coding RNA (VRAD_LNC011810)". Lineage: Eukaryota; Viridiplantae; Streptophyta; Magnoliopsida; Fabales; Fabaceae. The record is from RNAcentral.